AGCUCCAAUAGCGUAUAUUAAAGUUGUUGCAGUUAAAAAGCUCGUAGUUGGAUUUCUGGUUGGAGCGACCGGUCGGGCAUUGAUUUGUCUGCACUGGAGUCGGUUCCGUCCAUCCUCUCGGAAAGUGCGUAUGGCAUUAAGUUGUCGUGCGUAUGAUCCGGGUCUUUUACUGUGAAAAAAUUAGAGUGUUUAAAGCAGGCCUUCGCCUUGAAUACAUUAGCAUGGAAUAAUAAGAUAGGACUUGGGUCUAUUUUGUUGGUUUGCAGACCGAAGUAAUGAUUAAUAGGGAUAGUUGGGGGUAUUUAUAUUCCGAUGUCAGAGGUGAAAUUCUUAGAUUUUCGGAAGAUAAACUUAUGCGAAAGCAUUUACCAAGGAUGUUUUCAUUA
Molecule: ribosomal RNA, 386 nt
Filed under: Stramenopiles sp.
Lineage: Eukaryota
Also listed under: 1 other name
Description: SSU rRNA
Rfam family: Eukaryotic small subunit ribosomal RNA
Source: RNAcentral